UACGGAAGGGGCAAGCGUUGUUCGGAAUCAUUGGGCGUAAAGGGCGCGUAGGUGGUUCUGUACGUCUACCGUGAAAGCGUACGGCUCAACCGUAUUUUGUCGGUGGAAACUGCAGGACUUGAGGCUGGGAGGGGCUGGUGGAAUUCCCUGUGUAGCGGUGAAAUGCGUAGAGAUGGGGGAGAACACUCGUGGCGAAGGCGGCCAGCUAGACCAGUUCUGACACUGAGGCGCGACAGCGUGGGGAGCAAACAGG
Molecule: ribosomal RNA, 253 nt
Filed under: uncultured bacterium
Lineage: Bacteria
Description: partial 16S ribosomal RNA
Rfam family: Bacterial small subunit ribosomal RNA
Source: RNAcentral